RNAcentral lists this unclassified non-coding RNA (327 nucleotides) under plant metagenome. RNAcentral describes it as "partial contains small subunit ribosomal RNA, internal transcribed spacer 1, and 5.8S ribosomal RNA". The record is from RNAcentral.
UUUCCGUAGGUGAACCUGCGGAAGGAUCAUUAACGAAUAACUAUGGUGUCUUGGUUGUCGCUGGCUCCUCGGAGCAUCGUGCACGCCCGCCAUUUUUAUCUAUCCACCUGUGCACCGGAUGUAGGUCUGGAUGACUCUCGUCUCCGGGCGGAUGCGAGGUUUGCGUGUGCGCAGCGCGUUCGCGCGCGUUGCGUACGGGCUCACCUCGAAUUUCCAGACUCUACGUCUUUUUACACACCCCAAACGUAUGAUGCAGAAUGUAGUCAAUGGGCCUUUAAAAGCCUAUAAAACACUAUACAACUUUCAGCAACGGAUCUCUUGGCUCUC